AGCACAAGGGAAGGGAAGGGGUUGUGUUCGGGCCGCGUCGCGUAUGUAUGUAUGUGUAGCUGAGUUGAAGGGAGAAGGAGGUGGCUUUCAGGUUGGAAAAGCGAGGGUUAGGUGGUGGGUAGCGGGUGGUGGUUAGGGGGGGAGAGGGAGCAAGCGAACUAAGCUAGUCUCUCUCGGGGCGGUGGCGGUGGCGGUGGCGGUGGCGGUGGUCUGGAGCUGGUCAGUUAGGGGAGAUCCCAAAGCGGAUAGCGCGGCGGGUUAGCCUAGGUGGAGGUUACUACUGCUACUCGCUACUGCCUCUGGCGUGGACGGGCGAGACGCGGCUCCUCUACCUGUAGUGACUGGUCGUUGAGUUCGGGACGUUUACACCGAUGCUCUAAACACAGACCACGACCGUGGUGUAGUAACUGUACCGACUCUUUCUCCUGUGUCUCCCCGCGACGGGACGGACGGCGUGUGCGAUACUGUUCCUGUCCUAACAAUUCUACCGACGGUGCACACUGUCUUGCCAUCGUCUAUUUUUAUGUCUGUUCUUCGUCUUCUGGGUUUUCCAAUUCAGUUUCUGUGACUGACACCUUCGAUUCUUCGUAGACCGGUCACAGUCUCAAUAGGUCUCUUUGGACCAGAUGUAUUAACCCGAUGGACGUUUAAAUACGUUACUCUCACAUGAACUCGCGUCCCUUAUGAAACCAGUCAUACCUUUCCAAAACUUCCAAAGUCAAAGAGCAGGUUGACCCCGAGGAAGGGUCGUCUGUAGUUGCUUGUUGCCAUAGUCGCAUAUAUAAUGAAUACGGUUUCUUCUUCUCCGGUAGGCCACAUAAGUCCGACAUGUGUUAAAACAGAACCUUCCCUUUCACGAUUCUCGUACGAAACCGUGGUGCUUUAUAACGGUACGUACCGACGCCUUGUACUGUACACCCUUAGGUCUAACAGAGAUAAACGUACUACAUCCGUCAGUCCUCCUAUCAAAGUGAUUUCUACUCUAUUAGAGUCGAAUAUGGUCCUCAUCCCAAGGAGUUUACCGCAGAUCACAAAGGGUUUCUGCACGUCCUUGACAUAACGGAGGAGGUCGUCUCCUAAAGAGAAUGUCACGCCACCAAAGUCGGUUUGUAUGUUAGUUCUUACCUUGUUGAUUAUGGUGUCCGGUCAGUUCUGACAGUGGAGGUUUGUCAUCAAGUCCCUCCAGGUGCGAAGGUAGUCGAUGAAGUACCCCCGUAGCACUAAACUUGUGUGCCUGUUGGCGCUGACUCCACCGCAGGAGUGUUAGAGAAUGAUUUAGUUUUCGUCUCCGCGUAUCAUUAAGUGAAAGUUCAAGAAGAUACUAAAGCUUAAGUUCUGAUGGAAGAAGUACCUUACUACUAUGUUCGUGUCAUGACUUUUACUGACUUCCUGCCGUUCAUAGUCUUGCUCUAUCAAACAGAUUUUGGAACUUCGGUAUAUCUGGACCAUAACGUUUCCUUUGGGUUCGACACUGUAGUAACCUCAGAAGCAACCUGUAUCUGAAAAGAUGUUAUGGAAGUCGGACCUUACUACUACUUCAACAUCGUAGUCUACUCUGAAGUUUUCCUUCACUCCUUUUCGUUCAACAUUUACCUUUCAAAAAAGGAAGUCGUAGGAGUUUUGGUUGCCUUGGCCCGGUCUAACCCAGAUUCAGUAGUUGUAGUGGUUUCUUACCGCUUCGGCAUUUGUCAAGGUUCGUUUUAGAACGUCUAACACACGGUGUAAGUCGUUAUAGACCAAGACAAAAUUUCUCCCUACUCCCACUCUUAUCUGGACCCCUGUGUCUUCAGCUCUUCAACAGACAACCCCAUUGAAGUCAUUGAAAUCUAUCGUUUCUAUGUCAAGUAUCAUACCUUCUUUUGGUUGUCGACCCACGUCAAGGGUUGUGAAGGCGGCACCACGGAAAUUCAGUUUCAAACUUCUUCCUUGUUAGAGUAAACUUCGAACGACCCGAAAGUAGUAGUCUUUUAUUCCUGGGACAUGAAAGAACAGUUAGAUCAAGACUAUUCGUAGAACUGACCUCGAGUCUCGACGUUUCAACAGCACACCGAAGAGGAAACUUACUGUAUACCUUAAGAAGACACCGGUGACUAUUUGGGGUACGGUGACGAUUGUGUAGUGUAUAAAGAAACACCUUACUAUUUCUUUAAUUGGGAUGAAGCUGUUCACUACCAUCUUGAAGACCGUGGUACGACGUUUGGUCCAAUAGAAGUUGACUUUUACGAAGAUGGUACAACUUACCUGCAGCACUCCCCGAUCCUGGAUACAUAUGUGGACUAUACCAAAGACUUGUAAGACCAUACGCUUUGGUGGUCGUAUCUCGUGACCUACGUCGUUCUUUACUAUUGUAUCCGUCAAAACCGUUGCGACAUUCACCUUUAUUUCUGCUCCCGUCGUAUUAAAGACUAUAUAACAGAAACCUCAAACUAGGUACCCUACUCAGCAUAAGUUGACGCUUGUUAAAACAAUUCUACGAAUUACUUAGACUUUUCUUGCUACGUGAAAAGUUGCGUGGAAGUACCUUUAGUUUUCCGUGGUCAUUACUCAGAUCUAAAAGCAAACGAUCUGUCCUAUUGGUUGCCUUGAAGGUUCUAAGUAGAAAGUCUUUAACACCGUGACUAGUCUUAAAAUCGAACGAUAGGGUCUUAAGAGUACCGUUGUCGAUAGUCUUACCACAACGUAAGGUUAGCGGCCUCCUUCUAAAAAGUUUCUCGUUAGGAGAACGAUACAGUCUAUAUCGUUGACGACCCAGAAGUUCCAGAUUUUAUAGACGUGGAGGACCUAAGCGCCGUGGUCGAUCUCAGGGUGGAGGACCUAAAAGUAGAGUCCUGCCCAACUUAGGGGGUGGACCUAAAAGAAGUCCUAAGAGUAGAGUCCUAUACAACUUAGUGGGAGUACCUAUAGGAAGCCCUAAAGGUAGAGUCCGACCUAGAUUAGGGGGAGUACCUAAAAGUAGAGUCCGACCCAGCUUGGGCAGAGCACCUAAAUUAAGACCUAAAAGUAGGGUCCUACCCAGAUUGUUAUAAGGAGGACCCAAAAGAAGACGCAAAAGACGACCCAAAAGUAGGGUCUUACCCAGAUUGGUCCGCAUACCGAGGUGUAAGAGUCUUUGAGCAGAUGAACUAUUAGAAAAACCAUCGGUGUGGUUAGUCAUAGUUGGAGUCUAUAGAUCUGUGUGUUCACUGUAUCUUAAAUAACUAGGACGAUAUAACCGACACCCGUUUCCCGCCUACGGUCCUCAAUCACUAAGUCCCAACCUAAACUUUUUGUGAGGAAAAGGUCGUGUUAACGUCUGUAGCUUAUUACUAGGUUCUGAAGUUGAUGAAUACGUCGUCUCGUACGGGAGAGUAGUUUUGGAGUCUAUAUGACUGGUACAAGUUCUACGUAAGUUGGGAUAAGUCUUACUAUUAAUAGACUGUAGGGCUGAAGACGGUGUCUUGGUACCAAGAGAUAGGGGAAUACGUGUCUACAGUGAGGUUGUUGGAUCUUUGAGUGUCGAACGUUUACCAGUGACCCUACCGACCUCACUAAACUCUGUCCCCUUAUUACAAGGGUACAGCCUGUACAGUUCCUACAAUAUAGGUUGACUUCGAUUGUUGAAAGUGUACGACCCAAGUUUACUAUACAUAUUGUCUUGGAAACCUGAAAUUAACAGAAACUUCCACUUAUAACUGGAGAGGCGCAGAUAAAACCCGCACAGAGAACAAGACUUUCAUUGACCAACGUGUCACGAACAGAUUACCAACACGAAUACUCGACCAUGCACUUUCAAGAUGACCUUCCGUCAACUACGUUUACACGGCUGUACUAGGACUCAAACUUGAUCUAGAAGGUUCGUGUUCCAAGGAAAGAUCCGCUUCAGUAUGUACUUGUCCACCAGGAACUUCAUAUACCUAUGUAUACCAAACCCACGCUACCUUCGACCGAACUCUUCUCUCUAUGGCAAAUCGCACAUACAAGAUAAAGCGGUAGCAUCGACACAUUUACAAAAGAACGGAACCCCUAAGCUCUCUGAGGAGACAUGUACUAAAACAUUGAACGGCGACCAUCCAGAAAACACCACGUAUCUUUCGAGUACAAAACCACACCCCAAACAACUUAGUUUUUGACUUUCGUUUACACUGUUAGUAGAUAUCGAGUUGACUGUUAACAAACCGUAGUUUGACUUCCUUCCAAAAACUGAUGUAAACUACAAACAAUGAUCUACAUUACACAACAAG
RNAcentral lists this ribosomal RNA (4220 nucleotides) under Triticum aestivum (bread wheat). Its description in RNAcentral is "partial small subunit ribosomal RNA". Lineage: Eukaryota; Viridiplantae; Streptophyta; Magnoliopsida; Poales; Poaceae. The record is from RNAcentral.